UGGGGAAUAUUUGACAAUGGGGGGAACCCUGAUCCAGCCAUGCCGCGUGUGUGAAGAAGGUCUUCGGAUUGUAAAGCACUUUAAGUUGGGAGGAAGGGCAGUAAGCGAAUACCUUGCUGUUUUGACGUUACCGACAGAAUAAGCACCGGCUAACUCUGUGCCAGCAGCCGCGGUAAUACAGAGGGUGCAAGCGUUAAUCGGAAUUACUGGGCGUAAAGCGCGCGUAGGUGGUUCGUUAAGUUGAAUGUGAAAGCCCCGGGCUCAACCUGGGAACUGCAUCCAAAACUGGCGAGCUAGAGUAGGGCAGAGGGUGGUGGAAUUUCCUGUGUAGCGGUGAAAUGCGUAGAUAUAGGAAGGAACACCAGUGGCGAAGGCGACCACCUGGGCUCAUACUGACACUGAGGUGCGAAAGCGUGGGGAGCAAACAGG
This 429-nucleotide ribosomal RNA is filed under the name Pseudomonadota bacterium. RNAcentral describes it as "Proteobacteria bacterium partial 16S ribosomal RNA". It matches the Rfam family "Bacterial small subunit ribosomal RNA", at positions 355 to 776 of the family's 1533-position model. Lineage: Bacteria; Pseudomonadati; Pseudomonadota. The record is from RNAcentral.